This 331-nucleotide unclassified non-coding RNA is filed under the name soil metagenome. Its description in RNAcentral is "partial contains 5.8S ribosomal RNA, internal transcribed spacer 2, and large subunit ribosomal RNA". The stretch from base 1 to 119 matches the Rfam family "5.8S ribosomal RNA", at positions 35 to 154 of the family's 154-position model. The record is from RNAcentral.
GAUGAAGAACGCAGCAAAUGCGAUAAGUAGUGUGAAUUGCAGAAUUCAGUGAAUCAUCGAAUCUUUGAACGCAGAUUGCGCCCUUUGGUAUUCCUUAGGGCAUGCCUGUUCGAGCGUCAUUUAAACCUUCAAGCUCAGCUUGGUGUUGGGUGACUGUCCGCUUCACCGCGGACUCGCCUCAAAAUUAUUGGCGGCCGGUACAUUGGCUUCGAGCGCAGCAGAAACGCGAACUCGGGCCCGUCGUAUUGGCUCCCAGAAGCUAUCUUCACAAUUUUGACCUCGGAUCAGGUAGGGAUACCCGCUGAACUUAAGCAUAUCAAUAAGCGGAGGA